Molecule: ribosomal RNA, 362 nt
Filed under: uncultured Geobacillus sp.
Lineage: Bacteria; Bacillati; Bacillota; Bacilli; Caryophanales; Anoxybacillaceae
Description: bacterial SSU rRNA
Rfam family: Bacterial small subunit ribosomal RNA
Source: RNAcentral
UUCGGGGGACAGGGUGACAGGUGGUGCAUGGUUGUCGUCAGCUCGUGUCGUGAGAUGUUGGGUUAAGUCCCGCAACGAGCGCAACCCUCGCCUCUAGUUGCCAGCAUUCGGUUGGGCACUCUAGAGGGACUGCCGGCGACAAGUCGGAGGAAGUGGGGAUGACGUCAAAUCAUCAUGCCCCUUAUGACCUGGGCUACACACGUGCUACAAUGGGCGGUACAAAGGGCUGCGAACCCGCGAGGGGGAGCGAAUCCCAAAAAGCCGCUCUCAGUUCGGAUUGCAGGCUGCAACUCGCCUGCAUGAAGCCGGAAUCGCUAGUAAUCGCGGAUCAGCAUGCCGCGGUGAAUACGUUCCCGGGCCUU